This 267-nucleotide unclassified non-coding RNA is filed under the name plant metagenome. Its description in RNAcentral is "partial contains small subunit ribosomal RNA, internal transcribed spacer 1, and 5.8S ribosomal RNA". The record is from RNAcentral.
UUUCCGUAGGUGAACCUGCGGAAGGAUCAUUAUCGUACAUCGUGUGAGGGGCAUGCGAGGGCUAUCGCUGACCCAAAAGUCGUUCACGCCCGUGUGUGUCCUGUUGCAUAAUAAUCCAUCUCACCCUUUGUGCAUCACCGCGUGGGCACCCUUCGGGAUCAUCUCGGAGGGGGGCUCGCGUUUUCACACAAACCCCCCUUUUAAAAGUGUAGAAUUACCACAUUUAUGCAAUCAAUACAACUUUCAACAACGGAUCUCUUGGCUCUC